Long non-coding RNA from Physella acuta, 337 nucleotides. RefSeq lists it as uncharacterized. The record is from RefSeq and is a predicted model, not a curated record. NCBI's taxonomy places the organism in Eukaryota, Metazoa, Mollusca, Gastropoda, Physidae.
CAGAUCCUGCAGAGUUUAUCAGGUCGUCCAGCUGUCUAACAUAUUCACGUCUAUUGUGUGAGUUGUAUGAUCCCGUCAUGAUGCGACUUGUACUCAUCUCCUUGCUGGUCGUGUUGGUGUCUGGGACUGUGAGAGCACAGAACGACGUAGACAACAACGGGUUUGAAGAAGUUGACCGUCGUGAUAUCUUCUACAUUCUAUUUUGCGAUGUGCACACUGAACAAAGGUGUAUGCUGGGGAAGAAAUCAUCUGAGGAGCCUUCGCAGAUUGAAUGAACUCAUUACAACCUACGCUUUGAUUCAGUUAAAGAACUACUAUCAGCCAACAUCUUCACUAC